CAGUCGCCGCGGGAAUACGUAGGUGGCAAGCGUUGUCCGGAAUUAUUGGGCGUAAAGGGCUCGCAGGCGGUUUCUUAAGUCUGAUGUGAAAGCCCCCGGCUCGACCGGGGAGGGUCAUUGGAAACUGGGAAACUUGAGUGCAGAGGAGGAGAGUGGAAUUCCACGUGUAGCGGUGAAAUGCGUAGAGAUGUGGAGGAACACCAGUGGCGAAGGCGACUCUCUGGUCUGUAACUGACGCUGAGGAGCGAAAGCGUGGGGAGCGAACAGGAUUAGAUACCCCAGUAGUCCCUGUCUCUUAUAC
This 301-nucleotide ribosomal RNA is filed under the name uncultured bacterium. RNAcentral describes it as "partial 16S ribosomal RNA". It matches the Rfam family "Bacterial small subunit ribosomal RNA", at positions 509 to 807 of the family's 1533-position model. The record is from RNAcentral.